GAGUUUGAUCUUGGCUCAGGACGAACGCUGGCGGCGUGCUUAACACAUGCAAGUCCGAGCGGUGACCCUCCUUCGGGAGGUGAUCAGCGGCGAACCGGGUGAGUAACACGUGGGCAACCCUGCCCCUAACACUGGGAUAACCUCGGGAAACCGGGGCUAAUACCGGAUACGACCUCGAGCGGCAUCUCUUGAGGUGGAAAGCUCCGACGGUUAGGGAUGGGCCCGCGGCCUAUCAGCUUGUUGGUGGGGUAAUGGCCUACCAAGGCGACGACGGGUAGCCGGCCUGAGAGGGCGACCGGCCACACUGGGAUUGAGACACGGCUUAGACUCCUACGGGAGGCAGCAGUGGGGAAUAUUGCGCAAU
This 364-nucleotide ribosomal RNA is filed under the name uncultured bacterium. Its description in RNAcentral is "bacterial SSU rRNA". It matches the Rfam family "Bacterial small subunit ribosomal RNA", at positions 9 to 372 of the family's 1533-position model. The record is from RNAcentral.